This 496-nucleotide ribosomal RNA is filed under the name uncultured bacterium. RNAcentral's name for it is "partial 16S ribosomal RNA". It matches the Rfam family "Bacterial small subunit ribosomal RNA", at positions 28 to 507 of the family's 1533-position model. The record is from RNAcentral.
GAUGAACGCUGGCGGCGUGCCUAAUACAUGCAAGUCGAGCGAACAGACGAGGAGCUUGCUCCUCUGACGUUAGCGGCGGACGGGUGAGUAACACGUGGAUAACCUACCUAUAAGACUGGGAUAACUUCGGGAAACCGGAGCUAAUACCGGAUAAUAUAUUGAACCGCAUGGUUCAAUAGUGAAAGACGGUUUUGCUGUCACUUAUAGAUGGAUCCGCGCCGCAUUAGCUAGUUGGUAAGGUAACGGCUUACCAAGGCAACGAUGCGUAGCCGACCUGAGAGGUGAAUCGCCAAAACGGAAACUAGGACCCGGCCAGACUCCUACGGGAGGCAGCAGUAGGGAAUCUUCCGCAAUGGGCGAAAGCUUGACGGAGCAACGCCGCGUGAGUGAUGAAGGUCUUCGGAUCGUAAAACUCUGUUAUUAGGGAAGAACAAAUGUGUAAGUAACUAUGCACGUCUUGACGGUACCUAAUCAGAAAGCCACGGCUAACUACGUG